GAAGCUGGAAUCGCUAGUAAUCGCGGAUCAGAAUGCCGCGGUGAAUACGUUCCCGGGUCUUGUACACACCGCCCGUCACACCAUGGGAGUCGGAAAUGCCCGAAGUCUGUGACCCAACCUUAGGGAGGGAGCAGUCGAAGGCAGGUCGGAUGACUGGGGUGAAGUCGUAACAAGGUAGC
This 179-nucleotide ribosomal RNA is filed under the name uncultured bacterium. RNAcentral's name for it is "partial 16S ribosomal RNA". It matches the Rfam family "Bacterial small subunit ribosomal RNA", at positions 1322 to 1500 of the family's 1533-position model. The record is from RNAcentral.